GAUGAAGAACGCAGUGAAAUGCGAUAAGUAGUGUGAAUUGCAGAAUUCAGUGAAUCAUCGAAUCUUUGAACGCACAUUGCGCCCCUUGGUAUUCCAUGGGGCAUGCCUGUUCGAGCGUCAUUUGUACCUUCAAGCUUUGCUUGGAGUUGGGUGUUUGUCUCGCCUUUGCGUGUAGACUCGCCUUAAAAUAAUUGGCAGCCGGCGUAUUGAUUUCGGAGCGCAGUACAUCUCGCGCUUUGCACUCAUAACGACAGCGUCCAAAAGUACAUUUUACACUCUUGACCUCGGAUCAGGUAGGGAUACCCGCUGAACUUAAGCAUAUCAAUAAGCGGAGGA
RNAcentral lists this unclassified non-coding RNA (336 nucleotides) under soil metagenome. Its description in RNAcentral is "partial contains 5.8S ribosomal RNA, internal transcribed spacer 2, and large subunit ribosomal RNA". The stretch from base 1 to 120 matches the Rfam family "5.8S ribosomal RNA", at positions 35 to 154 of the family's 154-position model. The record is from RNAcentral.